ACAGCAGGUCGACCUGUCGCCCCGGCUUUGUGUCGGGGAGGAAAGUCCGGACACCGUAGUGCAGCAUAGCGGGUAACGCCCGUCCACCGUGAGGUGCGGACCAGUGCAACAGAAAGCAAGUACAGUUCGGCUGUAGUGAAAUCGGCAAACUCUAUGCGGUGCAACGCCAUGUAGUUCGGCAAUUGAAGGCUGCACGCCUGAGCCGACGGGUAGGCGGAUCGAACCUCUGGGUAACCAGGGGUCCAGAUAAAUGACAGGAGUCCCGGCCUUUGGGCCAGGUAGACAGAAUCCGGCUUAUGACCUGCUGUUUUU
RNAcentral lists this RNase P RNA (312 nucleotides) under Robiginitalea aurantiaca. RNAcentral's name for it is "RNase P RNA component class A". It matches the Rfam family "Bacterial RNase P class A". Rfam says of the family: Ribonuclease P (RNase P) is a ubiquitous endoribonuclease, found in archaea, bacteria and eukarya as well as chloroplasts and mitochondria. Its best characterised activity is the generation of mature 5'-ends of tRNAs by cleaving the 5'-leader elements of precursor-tRNAs. Cellular RNase Ps are ribonucleoproteins. Lineage: Bacteria; Pseudomonadati; Bacteroidota; Flavobacteriia; Flavobacteriales; Flavobacteriaceae. The record is from RNAcentral.